Molecule: transfer RNA, 76 nt
Filed under: Ignavibacteria bacterium
Lineage: Bacteria; Pseudomonadati; Ignavibacteriota; Ignavibacteria
Description: tRNA-Lys
Rfam family: tRNA
About the family: Transfer RNA (tRNA) molecules are approximately 80 nucleotides in length. Their secondary structure includes four short double-helical elements and three loops (D, anti-codon, and T loops). Further hydrogen bonds mediate the characteristic L-shaped molecular structure. tRNAs have two regions of fundamental functional importance: the anti-codon, which is responsible for specific mRNA codon recognition, and the 3' end, to which the tRNAs corresponding amino acid is attached (by aminoacyl-tRNA synthetases). tRNAs cope with the degeneracy of the genetic code in two manners: having more than one tRNA (with a specific anti-codon) for a particular amino acid; and 'wobble' base-pairing, i.e. permitting non-standard base-pairing at the 3rd anti-codon position.
Source: RNAcentral
GCACCCUUAGCUCAGUUGGUAGAGCAACUGACUCUUAAUCAGUAGGUCGAGGGUUCGAGUCCCUCAGGGUGCACGA